AUUCCAUGAAUUCAACACGAAAGACCCAAGAGAUGCUCUUAGGAGAGUCCAAGUAGUCCCAGAACUUUGUGGAUGGGUAAAUACUCAAACCGCAGAGCAACGUUUUGCUGCAAUGCGCAAAAACAAUUAUUUCCUGAACAUGCUCACGCCAUCAGGACACACAUUUUUGAUGCGCAACAUCAUUCACCAUUAUAAUACAGCACAGAAUAAGAACAUGGAGGACAGCCUAAGAAAAGCUGUAUCACCAAGUGAUCAGUUAACCUUCAAUGGUUACGGUCAGAUAGUACUUGACCCCAGCCAAGGUUCAGUGAUGGACAUGACAGCCCUACGAAAUGUGCAGCCAAACAGGGCAUGCAUCCACAAAGCAGUGACCAAAUGAAGAUGAUAAAAAAUGCUUUAAAUGAAAAGGAAUCACAACAACAAUUUUUGGCUCAAGUAGGAGCAACAAUUCUGGACAGAUCAGAUUUUAUUACCUUGGGACAUCCAAAUGAUGUUGAAGGGACUGUGAG
This is a long non-coding RNA of Ctenopharyngodon idella (grass carp), 509 nucleotides long. RefSeq lists it as uncharacterized. The transcript is spliced from 3 exons. Lineage: Eukaryota; Metazoa; Chordata; Actinopteri; Cypriniformes; Xenocyprididae. The record is from RefSeq and is a predicted model, not a curated record.